This 19-nucleotide small nuclear RNA is filed under the name Arabidopsis thaliana (thale cress). RNAcentral's name for it is "snRNA_02396". Lineage: Eukaryota; Viridiplantae; Streptophyta; Magnoliopsida; Brassicales; Brassicaceae. The record is from RNAcentral.
AGAUACUCCCAAUGGAGAU